CCCGGUUACCGAGAGGCGGAGCUACGGAGGUGUUGUGGCCCGGAUGUCGGGGCGCUGCCUUCGGGUUCGCUGAUCCCCUUUCUCCUGCUGGGGAGCUCGCUAGCGGCCAAUGGUGGCUCUAGCCAAUGGAAUGCGACACUCAGAACAUGCCUAUUGAAUGAAUGAAAUGAAUGAAUGAAUGAACGAAUGACUGGAAUCAGAUGUCACCGAUGAAAACAGCUUCUCCAGUAAUUUCUCCCUGUUGACAAGGUCCAAGAUGAUCUCUGUCGAUAUUCAACCAGCAUGCCUUGGACUUUAUUGUGGGAAGACCCUGUUAUUUAAAAAUGGCUCAACUGAAAUAUAUGGAGAAUGUGGGGUAAGUCUGAUGUUUAUAUAAUAUUUCAUUGGUAUAAUCCAUUUGCUUUUGAGAUAUUUUCACAUGUAGAAUCUUUUUUCGUAAACUUUAACUGAGAAGAGUAGAGAAGCAUUAAUAAAAUCCUUAUAUUUAUUAGAAUAUUGAAAUCUAUAUCCAGGCAGGUAUGGUGCCACUGAGUUACAUCCCCUGCCCAUUUAUAGUUAUUGCUAAUUUUUAAAUGAUUUAGUGCAGUGACUUAUACAGUAAGUUAAUGUUACAAC
RNAcentral lists this long non-coding RNA (615 nucleotides) under Heterocephalus glaber (naked mole-rat). RNAcentral describes it as "lncRNA (ENSHGLG00100035617.1)". Lineage: Eukaryota; Metazoa; Chordata; Mammalia; Rodentia; Bathyergidae. The record is from RNAcentral.